AGUCACUGACAUUAGAUACCCGCGUAGUCCCAGCCGUAAACAAUGUGCGUUAGGUGUGUCGGUAACCACGUGUUACUGAUGCGCCGAAGAGAAAUCGUGAAACGCACCACCUGGGAAGUACGGUCGCAAGGCUGAAACUUAAAGGAAUUGCGGGGGGAGCACCACAACAGGUGGAGCCUGCGGUUUAAUUGGAUUCAACGCCGGACAUCUCACCGGAUAAGACAGCUGAAUGAUUGUCAAUCUGAAGGUUUUACAUGACUAGCUG
RNAcentral lists this ribosomal RNA (265 nucleotides) under uncultured archaeon. RNAcentral describes it as "partial 16S ribosomal RNA". It matches the Rfam family "Archaeal small subunit ribosomal RNA", at positions 716 to 982 of the family's 1478-position model. The record is from RNAcentral.